UACGGAGGGGGGCUAGCGUUUGUUCGGAAUUACUGGGCGUAAAGCGCACGUAGGCGGCUUUGUAAGUUAGAGGUGAAAGCCCGGGGCUCAACCCCGGAAUUGCCUUUGAGACUGCAUCGCUAGAAUUGUGGAGAGGUAAGUGGAAUUCCGAGUGUAGAGGUGAAAUUCGUAGAUAUUCGGAAGAACACCAGUGGCGAAGGCGAGUCCCUGGACACUUCCUGACACUGAGGCACGAAAGCUAGGGGAGCAAACAGG
This 255-nucleotide ribosomal RNA is filed under the name uncultured bacterium. RNAcentral's name for it is "partial 16S ribosomal RNA". It matches the Rfam family "Bacterial small subunit ribosomal RNA", at positions 524 to 776 of the family's 1533-position model. The record is from RNAcentral.